AUAUAUAUAUACAUAUAUAUACUUAAAUUGGAAUAAUACAGAGAAGAUGUGCAUGGCUUCUAUAUAAGGAUGAUAUGUAAACUUGUGAAAUGUUUCAGGGAGAA
This is a non-coding RNA of Dipodomys ordii (Ord's kangaroo rat), 104 nucleotides long. The record is from Rfam. NCBI's taxonomy places the organism in Eukaryota, Metazoa, Chordata, Mammalia, Rodentia, Heteromyidae.